Molecule: long non-coding RNA, 2705 nt
Filed under: Homo sapiens (human)
Lineage: Eukaryota; Metazoa; Chordata; Mammalia; Primates; Hominidae
Description: HSALNT0259861
Source: RNAcentral
AGUUUAUUUACCUUUGGCUUCUUAAAAUUUAUAGAAAGAAAUAAUAUAUUUGGGUCCAUAGGUAAACAUGUCCUGUUUCAUACUGAAAAACUAUUCUGCGAGAAAACACGUUUCUAGAAAUUAUGUGUCUUCACAAAAUGUUAGCUCAUGACAGUUCAAAAUCGCUUACUUCCUAGGUUUCGCUGUAGAGUUGCUAAGACUUAAAAUUCUCAUAUAUAAUUAUAUAACUACUAUAAGUGACUCUGUAUGCAAAGUGUACAAGGAAAGUAAGAUGUUAGUGAGGUAUGAAGAUGUGGGGGGGUUUUGUUGAGGAAAAAUAACUUAGUCUAGUUUAUAAGUUGUUGCAGAAUAAAGGAAGGAAGAAAAGAUACAGGUAAAACUGAAUGCAUAUAAAAGUUGGAAAGAGAGAAUCUUUUGUGGUCAAACUGACCAAAAUUGAGUGAAUUUAUUAUGUCUUAAAAAUGAGAGUGAAUUUAUUAUGUCUUAAAAAUGAGCCCUAAUAUCAAGGGUACAUUGAUGCAAAACUAGAAUUUGGCAUUAUCUUUUAAAAUGCAAGAUUUUCUUGUAGUAUUGAUAAAAAAGAGUGAAAGAUUUUCUUUUUCACCUUUUAAGUAAUCUGCCUUAAAAAAUUAUGUCUUAUCAAAAUAAUUUUCUCUUUCAUGUUAUCUUUUAUCAGGCCUUCAAUUACUUUCCAAGAAAAUAAAAUCCUAUUAAGAGAGCUAAUAUAUAUAUUUUUACAACUAUAUAACUUUAUUUGCCUUCAAAGCCUUUUAAUAAUUACCCUGGUGAUUAUGAAAUGAAUAUUAAUAAAUAUUAAAUGCUCAUUAAAUACUUAAAUCAUAAAAUAUUAAAUGAUUAUAAAAUGAACAGUUGAUUAAAUAGGAUCCCAGAUCACUAUAUAAUUCAAUAAUCACUCUGGUAACCAGACUAAUUAUUAGUGACCUAAAUUAAUAGUUACCUGAGAUCCUAUUAAUCAAAUUUUUCCUUUUUUCUUUUCUUAAUUUCAAAAAAUAUGGAAGGCCUCAUGAAUUUGUGAGUUAUCCUUGCACAGGGGCCAUGCUAAUCUUCUCUGCAUCAUUCCAACUUUAGUAUAUGUGCUGCCAAAGCAAGCACUCAUCAAGUGUUUUAAAUCUUUUUUUACAUUUUUGACAAACUUCCUAAAAUCAAAUUCUAAAUUCAGUCUUUUGACCUUGAAUUAACUUUGGAAUUUGCCAGUUGAGCCCCUGGGAAAGCUCAAAAGAUGUGUUUCUCACCUCGAAAAAGAGAGACAUUAGCCAGGCAGGGGCUCAGAGCACUUAAACCUAAAUUCAUCAUAGGAAAGUUGUCCCUUGAAGUUGCCUUUCCUCCCCACGAACAUUUUACAGAGUACUUGCUCCUGGGUGGCAGAGCGACCUUAUCUCAAAAAAAAAAAAAAGAAUAUGCAACAAAAUAUGCAGUUACUUUAAAAGGAGCUUUUUCCAAUAAGGACACUAAAUAAAAUAUGCUUAACAUCAUUAGCUAUCAGGAAAUGCAAAUCAACACCACAGUAAGAUGCCAUUUAACACCCACUAGGACAACUAUAAUCAAAAAGUCAGAUACUAGUAAGUGUUGGUGAGGAUGUGGAGAAAAUGGGACCCUCAUAUACUGCUGGUGGAAAUGUAAGAUCAUACAGCUGAUGGAAAACAGUCUGGCAGUUCUUCAGAUGGUUAAAAAUAGAAUUAUCAUAUGACCCAACAAUUCUACUGCUAGGGUAUAUACCCAAGAGAAUUGAAAACAUAUGUCUACACAGAAUACUUGUACCUGAAUAUUGAUAGCAGCAUUAUUCACAAUAGCCCAAAAGUAUAAACAACCCAAAUGUCCAUCAACUCAUAGAUAAACAAAUGUAAUACAUCCAUACAAUGGAAUAUUAUUUAGCCGAUAAAGGAAUGAAACUCUGAUACAUGCCUGGUGACAGAGUGAGACUCCAUCUCAAAAAAAAAAAGGAAUACAGGCCAGCCACGGUGGCUCACAUGUAUAAUCCCAGUGCUUUCAGAGGCUGAGGCUGGAGGAUCACUUGAGCACAGGAGUUCAAGACCAGCCUGGGCUGGAGUGCAGUGGCAUGAUCUCAGGUUCAAGCGAUUCUCGUGCCUCAGCCUCCCAAGUACCUGGGAUCACAGGCGUGUGCCACCACACCCCGCUAAUUUUUGUAUCUUUAGUAGAGAUGGAGUUUCACCAUGUUGGCCAGGGUAGUCUCGAACUCCUGACCUGAGGUGAUCCGCCCACCUCCGCCUUCCAAAAGUGCUGGGAUUAAACAUGUGAGCCACCGCACCCAGCCGAAUUGUUCACUUUAAAUGAGUGAAUUGUCUGAUACAUGAAUUAUAUCUCAGUAGAGCUGUUUUUCUAAAAGCUCUUUAUGUACUAAUAUAAAACAAUCUCCAAGGUAUAUUAAGUGAAAAAAGCAAAGUGUAAAACUAUUAGAUAUGUAACCAUCUGAGUAAGAAAAUAUAAUUAUGUUUGUAAAUAUACAGAUAUUUCUGGGGGAACUCAUAAAACUCCAGUAACACUGACUGCCUCUGGAGAGGGGAACUGGAUGACUGACGGAUCCAGAGUAGAAGCAGAAUUGUUAUUUUUAAAAUAAGAGAUGCCCAAAAAUACAUAAAAAUUAACACAAUGAAUACCAUGUGCCUACCGCCCAGUUUUAAAAACCAUUACACCAGGCGCAGUGGCUCACACUUCCUUCAGGUGGC